UUGAAGUGCAGGCUAUAGAUUUCUGGACAAAUGACAAUUCAAUUGAAAUUAGAAAUUCUUAACCAAAAUGAUUGUUCUUGCUUAGUUGCAUAUGGUAAUUUGUUUAUUUAUUUAUUUGAAUGAAAUGCUAAGAGCACUCUUGUUCUUUAUCUCAUUCAUGUUUGGAAUUGGGGUAUGAUUACUUAGAGGUCGUUUGGUACAUGGGAUUAUCCCAUAUAAAAGGUGGGGUAAAAUAAUUUCAUGGGUUAAAAUAUCUGCAUACGAAGAGGAGUAUAUAUUGUUCAGUUUCUGCUAGCUUGCAUAACUACUACCUAUUCUUUUUCUUGAAGUUGCUAAAGUAUACCAAGUUUGUUUUCUUGCUUAAGUGUCUAGUUUUGAUGCUCCGUUUUUUGACAGUAUUUGAUAGAUAAACACUAGCUUAUUUAAUUCUUUGGCAUAGGCCAGGAAGAUGUUUCUUUGCUUUACAUCUCAAAGACUGUUUCUUUAUGCAUAUUAUGUUUUGUUAGAUGGAUGAUAAGCUAAAUUUUUGUCCUCCUUUUUGUUCAAUUCACAAUAAUUGAAAAAGUUGGUUCUAGGAGCCUAUUUUGGUUUUCUUCUUAAUUUGUACUCAAUAAAUGCAUGCCCCUUGAUUCAUUUAUGUUUAUCUGCACCCUGUUUAAACUUUAUCCUUAACCAGGUCUUUAAUUUUUAUCAUAUUAAAAGCUAGAUAUUUUAUAAAAGGAAGUGAUAAAAAGUUUUGUUUGUUCUUCUCAGACACUUGGUUAGUAUUAAUUUUCUGAAAAUUUGUACCUGAUAGUUGUCAAUUCUUGUUGUCCCAAAUUCCCUGGAGAGUUUAUCAAUUUUUGUCCAGACUUAUUAGCUAUCUGUGUGCCACACCCUUUAUACUGCUGAUUGCUAUCAAUUGGAGCAACCAUUGAAUUUGUAAUUUUUUUCACUACUCUUAGGCAAAAAAAUUGGUGCAUUAUGAUUGAGAUUUUUUCACUUCUCUUAGGCAAAAAAAUGGUGCAUUAUGGUUGAGAAUACUAUCCAAAAUUGAUGAGUAAUUCUUCGAUGUACCCAUAUACAUCUGUUAGACAUGGGUGAGACAAGUCUAAUGAAGGAUACCUGUAAUAUAACUUUUGGUGAGAUCAGAAUUAGAGUUGGUCUUUACACAAGGUGAAAUGUCUAUAUUGAAUGGAAGAGACGUGAGUAUUCAAUAGGCAUUGGACAUCUGACAAAAGAGAUACACAGAUAGAUUUCUUAACUCAUGUCCAGUCAGUUUACUUGUCAUGUCUCCUUGAUCAAAAGGAACUCAGACAGUACAUAACCGUUCAAGGCACACUUUGUUAAUUGAAUGUUGGGGUACAUACUAAAAUUAUACUAUGAUAUGAUUUUUGCUUAGUUCCCAGUAAAGAGAAAAUCUAGUAGUUUUUUUGUGUGCUAUAGUUCUACUCUCUACUUUUUAACAUCUGCUUUUUUGCUCCUUCGAAAUUUUAGUCCAUUAAAUUUAGGUGUAUACUAAUUACUACACAAAUUUCUGCUUAUAAAUAAUAAAUUGAGAUGAUGUCAUCUGAU
RNAcentral lists this long non-coding RNA (1554 nucleotides) under Capsicum annuum. Its description in RNAcentral is "long non-coding RNA (CANN_LNC014654)". Lineage: Eukaryota; Viridiplantae; Streptophyta; Magnoliopsida; Solanales; Solanaceae. The record is from RNAcentral.